This 371-nucleotide unclassified non-coding RNA is filed under the name Bombus terrestris (buff-tailed bumblebee). RNAcentral describes it as "misc RNA ENSBTSG00005039025.1". Lineage: Eukaryota; Metazoa; Arthropoda; Insecta; Hymenoptera; Apidae. The record is from RNAcentral.
GUGAGGCGUUGGAAGUAGGGUUCGUCGGAAGGUGGAAGAGGGCCGGAGAGGUUGGAGGCAGCGAUAACAGGGGGGUGGACGGGUGGACGGUUGGACGGGUGGUCGGGCGGUCGGGUAACGGGGUAGGGUGGCGUAACCGGGUUGGGAACGGGGGCGAAGUAAGAGGUGGAGGCAGAAGCAGCGGCAGAGGCAGAGGCAGAGGAGGAGUGGCAGGCUACAGACGCGGGGCGCGACAUGCUUUAUGACGUCUGUUCAUCACAUCGCCCCAGUCUCAUAAAUUAGAAAUCACCCCUUAGAUAGCUGGCACCCAUCUACGAUGGCGUCAGUGCCGUAUCGUGGGAGGCAGGGAUCGCCUCCGACUCGUCCGACCC